This 332-nucleotide ribosomal RNA is filed under the name uncultured bacterium. RNAcentral describes it as "bacterial SSU rRNA". It matches the Rfam family "Bacterial small subunit ribosomal RNA", at positions 568 to 898 of the family's 1533-position model. The record is from RNAcentral.
CACGCAGGCGGUCGUGUAAGUUUGGGGUUACAGCUCCCGGCUCAACUGGGAGAGCGCCUUGAAGACUGCGGGACUUGAGGGCCAGAGAGGGACACAGAAUUCCGGGUGUAGUGGUGAAAUGCGUAGAUAUCCGGAGGAAUACCAAAGGCGAAGGCAGUGUCCUGGCUGGUGACUGACGCUGAGGUGCGAAAGCUAGGGGAGCGAACGGGAUUAGAUACCCCGGUAGUCCUAGCUGUAAACGAUGACCACUAGGUGUGGGAGGUAUCGACCCCUUCCGUGCCGCAGCUAACGUGAUAAGUGGUCCGCCUGGGGAGUACGGUCGCAAGAUUAAA